Molecule: transfer RNA, 74 nt
Rfam family: tRNA
About the family: Transfer RNA (tRNA) molecules are approximately 80 nucleotides in length. Their secondary structure includes four short double-helical elements and three loops (D, anti-codon, and T loops).
CGGGGUGUAGCGUAGUUGGUUAGCGCGCAUGGCUGGGGGUCAUGAGGUCGAAGGUUCGAAUCCUUUCACCCCGA